RNAcentral lists this ribosomal RNA (364 nucleotides) under uncultured eukaryote. Its description in RNAcentral is "partial 18S ribosomal RNA". It matches the Rfam family "Eukaryotic small subunit ribosomal RNA", at positions 592 to 976 of the family's 1831-position model. The record is from RNAcentral.
CAUAAGCGUAUAUUAAAGUUGUUGCAGUUAAAAAGCUCGUAGUUGAACCUUGGGCUUGGCUGGCCGGUCCAUCUUUUUUGAUGCGUACUGGACCCAGCCGAGCCUUUCCUUCUGGCUAGCCUUUUGGCGAACCAGGACUUUUACUUUGAAAAAAUUAGAGUGUUCAAAGCAGGCCUUUGCUCGAAUAUAUUAGCAUGGAAUAAUAGAAUAGGACGUUAUGGUUCUAUUUUGUUGGUUUCUAGGACCAUCGUAAUGAUUAAUAGGGACGGUCGGGGGUAUCAGUAUUCAGUUGUCAGAGGUGAAAUUCUUGGAUUUACUGAAGACUAACUACUGCGAAAGCAUUUACCAAGGACGUUUUCAUUAA